UUGCACAUAACUGUAUUUUUCCUUAUUUCUGUCUUUUUAUUCCCAUUUUCCUCCUACUUUCUUCAAUGUUGCCAGCAGGUCAAAAUCCUUUCCCGCUACUAAGCUGUGGUGAGACCACACAUGUACUGCUGAGCCUAGUUCUGGGGUUCUCAGAUCAAGAGAGAUAUGGAUAUACCAAAGAGAGCCCAACAAAGGACCGCAAAAAUGAUCCAGGCACGAGAGAAUCCCUCAGAGUUAUCCUUUCCUGGUGGACAAGAAAUUGAUGUUUAUCAUAGGAAAUAGCUCUGGAAGCAAGUAACCAUUUUUCAAGGAAGAAAUUACUUACCUCAACAAGGAUUAUAAUAAAGCUUUUUUUCUUGUUUGGAGGAUGAG
Long non-coding RNA from Agelaius phoeniceus (red-winged blackbird), 372 nucleotides. RefSeq lists it as uncharacterized. NCBI's taxonomy places the organism in Eukaryota, Metazoa, Chordata, Aves, Passeriformes, Icteridae. The record is from RefSeq and is a predicted model, not a curated record.